AACGAACGCUGGCGGCAUGCCUAACACAUGCAAGUCGAACGAGACCUUCGGGUCUAGUGGCGCACGGGUUCGUAACGCGUGGGAACCUGCCCUUAGGUUCGGAAUAACUCCCCGAAAGGGGUGCUAAUACCGGAUAAUGUCUUCGGACCAAAGAUUUAUCGCCUUUGGAUGGGCCCGCGUUGGAUUAGCUAGUUGGUAGGGUAAAAGCCUACCAAGGCGACGAUCCAUAGCUGGUCUGAGAGGAUGAUCAGCCACACUGGGACUGAGACACGGCCCAGACUCCUACGGGAGGCAGCAGUGGGGAAUAGUGGACAAUGGGCGAAAGCAUGAUCCAGCAAUGCCGCGUGAGUGAUGAAGGCCUUAGGGUUGUAAAGCUCUUUUACCCGGGAUGAUAAUGACAGUACCGGGAGAAUAAGCUCCGGCUAACUCCGUG
RNAcentral lists this ribosomal RNA (433 nucleotides) under uncultured bacterium. RNAcentral describes it as "partial 16S ribosomal RNA". It matches the Rfam family "Bacterial small subunit ribosomal RNA", at positions 29 to 507 of the family's 1533-position model. The record is from RNAcentral.